CCUACGGGAGGCAGCAGUAGGGAAUUUUCGUCAAUGGGCGCAAGCCUGAACGAGCGAUGCCGCGUGAGUGAAGAAGGCCUUCGGGUCGUAAAGCUCUGUUGCGGGGGAAAAAAGGCAGCAUCAGGAAAUGGGUGCUGACUGAUGGUGCCCCGCCAGAAAGUCACGGCUAACUACGUGCCAGCAGCCGCGGUAAUACGGAGGUGGCGAGCGGUCAUCGGAAUGAUUGGGCGGAAGGGGUACGCAGGCGGUCCUUCAAGUCACGAGUGAAACGCAUGAGCUCAAAUCAGGCAUGGCUUUGGAAACUGGAGGACUGGAGAGCGGGAGAGGGCGGUGGAACUCCAUGUGUAGCGGUAAAAUGCGUAGAUAUAUGGAAGAACACCAGUGGCGAAGGCGGCCGCCUGGCCUGUUGCUGACGCUGAGGCACGAAAGCGUGGGGAGCAAAUAGGAUUAGAUACCCCGGUAGUC
Molecule: ribosomal RNA, 465 nt
Filed under: uncultured bacterium
Lineage: Bacteria
Description: partial 16S ribosomal RNA
Rfam family: Bacterial small subunit ribosomal RNA
Source: RNAcentral